UACCCAUUAAACCCACAAAUAACUUAAUAUCCUAAAGUUAAGACCUCAUCUUCUUCUCUAACCUAGACACCCUAAGCUUCAUCAGCAACCUAACACACACAAAAGACAAGCCGCCACCCUAACUCCUCUCAAGGACCACGCCGGCAGACCACCCCUUUCGCUACCACUGAUCCGCCUAGAACCAGCUGACUCAGCCCCGCCUCCCUUCACCUCACAGCUGCCGGCGUCCAACCGAAAAAUUCAAGAGCCAGCGACCACAGCAGCCCAUAUUCUCCAUCUCCACCGCCGAUUUCUUUAGCUUAUUACCCAGCUUCUGCACCUCACAUGCUCUUAGCCUUAAGUGUUGGCUUUUCUACGAAACAAUCGUAACCUCACAUCAAGUCCGGUGGUAAAGACUACUAACUCUAACAAGAGAAGCAUCCACCCCUACCAAAUCUCUGAGGAACCAGCAGCACGCCGUCGUUUUCCUCCAGCUUCAAGCUCAUUGGAUUGAGAAUGAGGAAUCGAGGUACAACAGACCCGAGCUUUCCGGUUCCGAUUUGAGUUUCCAUCUGCGGUUCUGACGCUUUUGUUUCAGAGCUGCCGCACAAUUAACUUCAGAUUCGUUUGAGAGUGAAGAAGCCAAGUUCUCCUUUCCUGUCAAUCGAUCAAUGGCGUCAAGCAACAGUCAUCACCAUGAGCAAAUAAACAGGUGGUUCAUCAUUCUGAAGAGGGAGUAUUCAUAUCCUUACUUCCUUUGUUCAGACAUUAGUUAUCAUUUAAGAUAAUGAUUUACAGGUUGAAGAUUCAGAGCACUAGAAUUCUCGUACCAGCUUUUUAAUCUGCUCCUGCUGCCAUAGUCAUCGAGUUCUCCACAGGUCUAACUUAGUUGAUCCCAAUUACAAUUCUAAUCAAGAUAAAUUAGUAUGCAUACACUGCCAGCCCUAUAAUAGAACGCAGACAAGAAAAAGAAAGAUUAGAAAAGCUUCAAACUCCAACCAAGCAAAUUUCAGAUCGAAAAAGUUUUAUUUACUGUCCAACAGCUUCUCUGACCAGAACUCCCCACCGGAAAAAAUGGAGUCUUGCAAUUCCAAACCAAUAUGAAAUGCACCACCUUACCCCAAUUUUACUUCAGAUUUCUGGUAUUUUGUUCUUCAAAUACAAGAACAAAUGAAUCAAAUUUUUUGUUCAAACUAAAUGUAUUUUUUCAGCAACAGAUUUGAUUACACUUGUAACAACCCAGCCGGUCGUUUUGAGUAUUUUAACCCCGAUCCCCUAUUUAUUGCCUCCUCUGUGCUAUAUUGUGGUUAUGCGACUUAUCGGGGUGUUUGGUUUUAGUUUCGGGUGAGUUCAGGAGUGAAAU
This is a long non-coding RNA of Nicotiana attenuata, 1342 nucleotides long. RefSeq lists it as uncharacterized. The transcript is spliced from 5 exons. The record is from RefSeq and is a predicted model, not a curated record. NCBI's taxonomy places the organism in Eukaryota, Viridiplantae, Streptophyta, Magnoliopsida, Solanales, Solanaceae.